Colius striatus (speckled mousebird) is the source of this 470-nucleotide long non-coding RNA. RefSeq lists it as uncharacterized. The record is from RefSeq and is a predicted model, not a curated record. The transcript is spliced from 3 exons. Lineage: Eukaryota; Metazoa; Chordata; Aves; Coliiformes; Coliidae.
UGUCUGCUAUGAACUGACAGAUCUCUUUGGCAAUGGAAGCGGAGUCUGCAGGGACAGUGAUGCUUUGGCCGUUCAUCAGGGUGACGGUCAACUGGAUAGCCAGAAGAGACGUAUCUAAGGAGCUGCCCAGAUCAAUAUAACUGAGCAAAAGGGAGUUGCUACCUGAAGUUCCAGCCAGCUUGGAGGCUCCGUCCGUGCUCCGUUGACAUAGGUCCGUCUGAGCCGUUCAGCGCAGUACGUAGAUGAAGUCCAUGAUUAAGACUGGUCACGGGAAGAAAAGGAUUGGAUAAACAGCUUUGGGAGUUUGGAUGGCCCUGGUAUCCUUCAUGACAUGGUGUAAGCAUGGACACAUAUCUACACACUUGUAUUUAGUGCAAGCAUGGGUCAGUCAGAUGGUUAUUUUAAUGACUAAGAAUAUUCCUACAGACAGAAUGGUCGUGUGUGUAAUGAAUUCUGCAUGGUUUUCAGUC